UGGGAAUUUUGGACAAUGGGCGCAAGCCUGAUCCAGCCAUGCCGCGUGCGGGAAGAAGGCCUUCGGGUUGUAAACCGCUUUUGUCAGGGAAGAAAUCUUCUGAGUUAAUACCUCGGGAGGAUGACGGUACCUGAAGAAUAAGCACCGGCUAACUACGUGCCAGCAGCCGCGGUAAUACGUAGGGUGCAAGCGUUAAUCGGAAUUACUGGGCGUAAAGCGUGCGCAGGCGGUUUUGUAAGACAGAGGUGAAAUCCCCGGGCUCAACCUGGGAACUGCCUUUGUGACUGCAAGGCUUGAGUGCGGCAGAGGGGGAUGGAAUUCCGCGUGUAGCAGUGAAAUGCGUAGAUAUGCGGAGGAACACCGAUGGCGAAGGCAAUCCCCUGGGCCUGCACUGACGCUCAUGCACGGAAGCGUGGGGAGCAAAACAGGAUUAGAUACCCUGGUAGUCCACGCCCUAAACGAUGUCAACUGGUUGUUGGGAAGGUUCCUUCUCAGUAACGUAGCUAACGCGUGAAGUUGACCGCCUGGGGAGUACGGCCGCAAGGUUGAAAACUCAAA
This 558-nucleotide ribosomal RNA is filed under the name uncultured bacterium. RNAcentral describes it as "partial 16S ribosomal RNA". It matches the Rfam family "Bacterial small subunit ribosomal RNA", at positions 356 to 905 of the family's 1533-position model. The record is from RNAcentral.